AACUAAGUUUUAAUUUAAUCCUAGUUGAAACCUUAAUAUAAUUUAAUUAAAUUCUAGAUAAAUCUUAAAUCCUAAAUCAAAUCCUAGAUAAAUCUUAAAUCUUAAAUCAAGUCUUAAAUCAAAUCCUAGACAAACACUUAAACUCUAAAUCAAAUCCUAAAUCCUAAAUUAAAUCAUAAAUCAAAUCCUAGAAAAAUUCUAAAUCCUAAACCAAAUCCUAACAAUUCUUAAAUUCUAAAUUAAAUCUUAGAAAAAUCCUAAUUCUUAAACCAAAUCUUAGACAAAUCCUAAAUCCUAAAUCGAAUCCUAAAUCAAAUCCUAAAUCAAAUUCUAAUCCUACUUAAUCUAAUCCUAGUAUAAUUUAAAACCUCAAUAUCUAUCAAUUGAACCAUUGAUCUUGCUUAAAAAUUUACAUGCCUUU
RNAcentral lists this long non-coding RNA (421 nucleotides) under Physcomitrium patens. RNAcentral describes it as "long non-coding RNA (PPAT_LNC003300)". The record is from RNAcentral. Lineage: Eukaryota; Viridiplantae; Streptophyta; Bryopsida; Funariales; Funariaceae.